RNAcentral lists this long non-coding RNA (534 nucleotides) under Musa acuminata (dwarf banana). RNAcentral describes it as "long non-coding RNA (MACU_LNC005973)". Lineage: Eukaryota; Viridiplantae; Streptophyta; Magnoliopsida; Zingiberales; Musaceae. The record is from RNAcentral.
GUUGAAGUAAAUGGUGCUGCCGUUCCAUGUAAGGGUGAGGUUGCCGUUCGCGAGAAGAGAGAAGGAGUACUCCCCGGAGCGCAAGGUCUGGCCCACGGUGAAGUUUUGGGACUGGAGGAUGGUGUCGGUGGGGUUAACGAAGGUGUCCCAGACGACGGCGGUGGAGUUCUUGAGCUCGAAGUCGCCCGAAUCAAGGAGGGAGGCGGCGGACACACCCUUGCCCGCGGUGCCGGACUCCCAGACGACCGUGCCGGAGCCGUCGACUAGGCGGAGGUUGCCAUCAGAGCGGAGCUGGAGGGAGGCGGCGGAAUCGACCGAAGCUCCGCCGCCGGCGGUCCACACGGGGAUGCCACCGGAGUAGGUUAUGGCAGCGAGGUACCGGGAGGUGUUCUGUGGGUCGGAGAUGAAGCCGAGGGAGUACGUCCCGCUGGGGGACGACCAGGAGGACGAGUUCAAGGGGGAGAGGGAGGAUCCGAGGGGGAUGUCCGCCGCGCCGGCGAGCCAGAGGGAGCCGACAAGGAGGAGCAGCAGGGG